CGGACGGGUGAGUAACAUGUACGCGACCUACCUUGUACUGGAGAAUAGCCCCGGGAAACUGGGAUUAAAACUCCAUAGUCUUCAAUGAUCGCAUGAGAAAUGAAGUAAAACUCCGGUGGUACAAGAUGGGCGUGCACCCCAUUAGAUAGUUGGUGAGGUAACGGCUCACCAAGUCUACGAUGGGUAACUGGCGUGAGAGCGCGACCAGUCACACUGGCACUGAGACACGGUCCGG
RNAcentral lists this ribosomal RNA (235 nucleotides) under uncultured bacterium. Its description in RNAcentral is "partial 16S ribosomal RNA". It matches the Rfam family "Bacterial small subunit ribosomal RNA", at positions 99 to 334 of the family's 1533-position model. The record is from RNAcentral.